GCCAUUGUCAUUGCUAUUCCCAUUGGCAUUGCCACUGUCACUGCCAUUCCCAUCGCCAUUGCCAUUGGCAUUGGCAUUGCCACUGUCACUGCCAUUGCCAUUGGCAUUGGCAUUGGCAUUGGCAUUGCCACUGUCACUGCCAUUCCCAUCGCCAUUGCCAUUGGCAUUGGCAUUGGCAUUGGCAUUGCCACUGUCACUGCCAUUCCCAUUGUCAUUGCUAUUCCCAUUGGCAUUGCCACUGUCACUGCCAUUCCCAUCGCCAUUGCCAUUGGCAUUGGCAUUGCCACUGUCACUGCCAUUCCCAUUGGCAUUGCCACUGUCACUGCCAUUCCCAUCACCAUUGCCAUUGGCAUUGGCAUUGGCAUUGGCAUUGCCACUGUCACUGCCAUUCCCAUUGCCAUUGCAAAUGUCAUUGCCACUGCCACUGCCAUUCUAUCCCAUUGCCAUUCCCACUGCCAUUGUCAUUGUCAUUGCUAUUCCCAUUGCCAUUGCCACUGUCACUGCCACUGUCAUUGCCACUGCCAUUGCCAUUCCCAUUCCCAUUGGCACUGCCAUUGCCACUGCCAUGGCCAUUCCCAUUCCCAUUGCCAUUGCCAUUGCCAUUCCCAUUGCCAUUGCCAUUCCCAUUUCCAUUGCCAUUGCCACUGCCAUGGCCAUUCCCAUUCCCAUUCCCAUUCCCAUUGCCAUUCCCAUUGCCAUUGCCAUUCCCAUUCCCAUUGCCAUUGUCACUGCCAUUCCCAUUCCCAUUCCCAUUCCCAUUCCCAUUCCCAUUCCCAUUUCCAUUGCCAUUGUCACUGCCAUUGUCACUGCCAUUGCCAUUGUCACUGCCACUGGCACUGCCAUUGUCACUGCCAUUGCCAUUGCCAUUGCCAUUGUCACUGCCAUUCCCACUACCAUUCCCACUGGCACUGCCAUUGCCAUUGCCAUUGCCAUUCCCAUUCCCAUUCCCACUGCCAUUGCCAUUCCCAUUUCCAUUGCGAUUGUCACUGCCAUUGUCACUGCCAUUGCCAUUGCCAUUCCCAUUGCCAUUCCCAUUCCCACUGGCACUGCCAUUGCCAUUGCCAUUGUCACUGCCAUUCCCAUUCCCAUUCCCAUUCCCACUGCCACUGCCAUUGUCACUGCCAUUGCCAUUCCCAUUGCCAUUGCCAUUCCCACUGGCACUGCCAUUUCCAUUGCCAUUGUCACUGCCAUUCCCAUUGCCAUUCCCAUUCCCAUUGCCAUUGCCAUUUCCAUUGUCACUGCCAUUGUCACUGCCAUUCCCAUUGCCAUUCCCAUUCCCAUUGCCAUUGCCAUUUCCAUUGUCACUGCCAUUGUCACUGCCAUUGUCACUGCCAUUGCCAUUGCCAUUGCCAUUGCCAUUGCCAUUGCCACUGCCAUUGCCAUUGCCACUCCCACUCCCACUGGCACUGCCAUUGCCAUUCCCACCGGGCACCACGCGUUGCCUCCCAGCCCAGGCCCUGCCUGGUACUUCACCCAUCCCACUUCCCCAGGGAGCACAGCUGGGAACGCCCCCCGAGGGCACGGAGCGGAACCCGG
Molecule: long non-coding RNA, 1536 nt
Organism: Lonchura striata (white-rumped munia)
Lineage: Eukaryota; Metazoa; Chordata; Aves; Passeriformes; Estrildidae
Source: Ensembl